Non-coding RNA from Maylandia zebra (zebra mbuna), 82 nucleotides. The record is from the annotation of a RefSeq genome assembly. NCBI's taxonomy places the organism in Eukaryota, Metazoa, Chordata, Actinopteri, Cichliformes, Cichlidae.
GCUGUGAUGGCUGAGUAGUUACGGCAUUGUACUUGGAAUCCAAAGGGGAUUCCCUGUGCAGGUUCAAAUCCUGCUCACAGCA